Centrocercus urophasianus (Greater sage-grouse) is the source of this 543-nucleotide long non-coding RNA. RefSeq lists it as uncharacterized. The record is from RefSeq and is a predicted model, not a curated record. The transcript is spliced from 2 exons. NCBI's taxonomy places the organism in Eukaryota, Metazoa, Chordata, Aves, Galliformes, Phasianidae.
GAGUCGCUGACACGUGCCGUCUGCAAUCUCCAUCUACAGCAUCUGCAGCAGGGAAAGGCAAGCGUCAGCCACCCACAGCAGGCACAACAGGCUGUCAGGGGCCUCUGUCCCUCCUCCUCGUGGGAGCACAGCAUCUGGGAAGCCUGGAAACAGUGAAGCUUUAGUCUUUGAAGAACAAAUGGGAGACCUUGGACAACUCAGCCAAGUGCUUAGGAUAAAGUGGGAUGAACACAGCCCAUGGGCUCGCCGUAGCACUGAACGAAUACCAACAUUUGGGAUUAAGGUGACUUUCUGUGGCUGAGGUGGAACAAUGUGGUUGACUUUACAACCUUUUCAUCCUUGAAAGCUGAUUCUGUGUGCUCCGCGUGGAGGAUCUAAGCCUACUCCCCAAACAAACAGCAGCCAUUUAAGCAAUCUUCUGAGCUCACCGAGAUGCCGGUGCUCUGACAAGUUUCCCCGUGCUUCAGAUGUUGACCUCAGCUCCCCAGGUGUGUGUCACAAGUGUGUGGUUGACAGGAAAUUAAAGUCAAGCUAGCAUACAAA